CCCUAGUAACGGCGAGUGAAGCGGGAAAAGCUCAAAUUUGUAAUCUGGCGGUCUACGGCCGUCCGAGUUGUAAUCUGGAGAAGCGUUUUCGGUGCCGGCCCGCGUACAAGUCCCCUGGAACGGGGCGUCGCAGAGGGUGAGAAUCCCGUCUUUGAUGCGGUCUCGCCGGUGCCAUGCGAAGCGCUCUCGAAGAGUCGAGUUGUUUGGGAAUGCAGCUCAAAACGGGUGGUAAAUUCCAUCUAAAGCUAAAUACGGGCGAAAGACCGAUAGCGAACAAGUACCGUGAGGGAAAGAUGAAAAGCACUUUGGAAAGAGAGUCAAACAGUACGUGAAAUUGUUGAAAGGGAAACGCUUGAAGUCAGUCGCGUCUCCCGGGACUCAGCGGGGUCACUCCCGCGCACUUCCCGGGGUUUAUGACGGGCCAGCGUCGAUUUCGACCGUCGUAGAAAGGCGAGAGGAAAGUGGCGGUCCUUCGGGGCCGUGUUAUAGCCUCGCGUCGUAUGCGAACGGUCCGGGAUCGAGGGAUGCAGCGCGCCUUCCUUUUCGGAGGAGGGCCGGGGUUCGCCCACGUAACGCGCUUGGGACGCUGGCGUAAUGGCUUUAAGCGACCCGUCUUGAAACACGGACCAAGGAGUCUAACAUGCU
RNAcentral lists this ribosomal RNA (645 nucleotides) under Lysurus sphaerocephalum. RNAcentral's name for it is "eukaryotic LSU rRNA". It matches the Rfam family "Eukaryotic large subunit ribosomal RNA", at positions 78 to 684 of the family's 3401-position model. The record is from RNAcentral. Lineage: Eukaryota; Fungi; Basidiomycota; Agaricomycetes; Phallales; Phallaceae.